RNAcentral lists this ribosomal RNA (432 nucleotides) under uncultured bacterium. RNAcentral's name for it is "partial 16S ribosomal RNA". It matches the Rfam family "Bacterial small subunit ribosomal RNA", at positions 29 to 506 of the family's 1533-position model. The record is from RNAcentral.
AACGAACGCUGGCGGCAUGCCUAACACAUGCAAGUCGAACGAGACCUUCGGGUCUAGUGGCGCACGGGUGCGUAACGCGUGGGAAUCUGCCCUUCGGUUGGGAAUAACUGAGAGAAAUUUCAGCUAAUACCUUAUAAUGUCUUCGGACCAAAGAUUUAUCGCCGAGGGAUGAGCCCGCGUAGGAUUAGGUAGUUGGUGGGGUAAUGGCCUACCAAGCCGACGAUCCUUAGCUGGUCUGAGAGGAUGAUCAGCCACACUGGGACUGAGACACGGCCCAGACUCCUACGGGAGGCAGCAGUGGGGAAUAUUGGACAAUGGGCGAAAGCCUGAGCCAGCAAUGCCGCGGGAGUGAUGAAGGCCUUAGGGUUGUAAAGCUCUUUUACCCGGGAUGAUAAUGACAGUACCGGGAGAAGAAGCUCCGGCUAACUCCGU